AAGAUUCCCUGGGCUGGAUGUGGAGGUCAUGUUGAGUAACCGGUGAAGAAUCAGGCAGUCUGGAGGUACAAGGUCUGAUUUACCAGGGGACAAGCUGGAAACAAUUAUGACAUUGAAGCCCAGAGACGGUACUGACUUAAACUUGCAGCACAGCCGAGAAGGGAACCUGGGUAUAAUGCUCCUUAGGUUACACCAGACAGAUCUUUCCCAGGGGUUCAUGUUGAUAUUCAGGCACAUGCACUCCCAUCUUCAAAUGCAGAACUGAGAAUGAGUUGAGUACAGGCUGGUGAGAUAUUGGAAUCUCCCAUACUGAACUGACUUUUGGUCAGAACCUGAAGAGCUAUGGAAUUUGCUGUGAAAUUGCCACUUCCUAUUUAUUAAUGAAGGUUGAAGGACAAUAGUCCUUGCUAACUGGAACUUUCUCUACCCUAUGCUACUAACUCCUCAACCAUGAUUCCAGGGUUACUUAAUGUUCCUUUCCCCUAAUUAUAGUGACCACACCCAUAUCUUAAGCUACAUUUUGUUUGUUUGUUUGUUUAUUUGUUUGUGGUACGCGGGCCUCUCACUGUUGUGGCCUCUCCAGUUGCAGAGCACAGGCUCCGGACGCGCAGGCUCAGCGGCCAUGGCUCACAGGCCCAGCCGCUCCACGGCAUGUGGGAGCUUCCUGGACCGGGGCACGAACCCGUGUCCCCUGCAUCGGCAGGUGGACUCUCAACCAUUGUGCCACCAGGGAAGCCCUUAAGCUACAUUUUAAAUCCCACAUUGGUUGACUUCAGACUCAUCUCAGGAAUAAAAUGGACAGAGAUGACAUGUGUGGACACUUGUACAAUACUGUUGACAACAUAUUACAUUUAGUUGUCACUUUUGUUUUUAUUUUCAGCAUUUCUUCCAGGGUACUUUAUUUUUAUGGCAAAUAUCUGGAUACUAGAAUAAAAAAAAAAAAUCACUAGGUUUCCAGCAUCUGGUUAUCAGGCCCCGCUUUUCUUAAGUUCUAGGAGGAAAAUGUUUUUCUCUCACUAUUACUAAAAAUCGAUUCUCUUUAGUGAUUU
Long non-coding RNA from Orcinus orca (killer whale), 1049 nucleotides. RefSeq lists it as uncharacterized. Lineage: Eukaryota; Metazoa; Chordata; Mammalia; Artiodactyla; Delphinidae. The transcript is spliced from 3 exons. The record is from RefSeq and is a predicted model, not a curated record.